This 383-nucleotide ribosomal RNA is filed under the name uncultured eukaryote. Its description in RNAcentral is "partial 18S ribosomal RNA". It matches the Rfam family "Eukaryotic small subunit ribosomal RNA", at positions 592 to 976 of the family's 1831-position model. The record is from RNAcentral.
CAAUAGCGUAUAUUAAAGUUGUUGCAGUUAAAAAGCUCGUAGUUGGAUUUCUGGUGGGAGCGAUCGGUCUGGCGCUUAGCGCGAGUACUUGCAUCGUCUCCGGCCAUCCUUGGGGAGAGUCUGUCUGGCAUUAAGUUGUCGGGCAGGGGAUCCUCAUCGUUUACUGUGAAAAAAUUAGAGUGUUCAAAGCAGGCUUAUGCCGUUGAAUAUAUUAGCAUGGAAUAAUAAGAUAGGACUUUGGUACUAUUUUGUUGGUUUGCGCACCAAAGUAAUGAUUAAUAGGGACAGUUGGGGGUAUUCGUAUUCCGUUGUCAGAGGUGAAAUUCUUGGAUUUACGGAAGACGAACUACUGCGAAAGCAUUUACCGAGGAUGUUUUCAUUAA